Molecule: ribosomal RNA, 253 nt
Filed under: uncultured bacterium
Lineage: Bacteria
Description: partial 16S ribosomal RNA
Rfam family: Bacterial small subunit ribosomal RNA
Source: RNAcentral
UACGGAGGGGGCUAGCGUUGUUCGGAAUUACUGGGCGUAAAGCGCACGUAGGCGGCUUUGUAAGUUAGAGGUGAAAGCCCAGGGCUUAACCCUGGAAUUGCCUUUAAGACUGCAUCGCUAGAAUCGUGGAGAGGUGAGUGGAAUUCCGAGUGUAGAGGUGAAAUUCGUAGAUAUUCGGAAGAACACCAGUGGCGAAGGCGACUCACUGGACACGUAUUGACGCUGAGGUGCGAAAGCGUGGGGAGCAAAAGGG